AAAUUGAAGAGUUUGAUCAUGGCUCAGAUUGAACGCUGGCGGCAGGCCUAACACAUGCAAGUCGAACGGUAACAGGAAGCAGCUUGCUGCUUUGCUGACGAGUGGCGGACGGGUGAGUAAUGUCUGGGAAACUGCCUGAUGGAGGGGGAUA
RNAcentral lists this ribosomal RNA (151 nucleotides) under Escherichia coli. RNAcentral describes it as "partial 16S ribosomal RNA". It matches the Rfam family "Bacterial small subunit ribosomal RNA", at positions 1 to 145 of the family's 1533-position model. RNAcentral also lists the same sequence under 6 other names. The record is from RNAcentral. Lineage: Bacteria; Pseudomonadati; Pseudomonadota; Gammaproteobacteria; Enterobacterales; Enterobacteriaceae.